UACGAAGGGGGCUAGCGUUGUUCGGAUUUACUGGGCGUAAAGCGCACGUAGGCGGUUUGUUAAGUGAGAGGUGAAAUCCCAGAGCUCAACUCUGGAACUGCCUUUCAUACUGGCAAGCUAGAGUCCGGAAGAGGUAAGUGGAACUCCUAGUGUAGAGGUGGAAUUCGUAGAUAUUAGGAAGAACACCAGUGGCGAAGGCGGCUCACUGGCCCGGUACUGACGCUGAGGUGCGAAAAGCGUGGGGAGCAAACAGGG
Molecule: ribosomal RNA, 255 nt
Filed under: uncultured bacterium
Lineage: Bacteria
Description: partial 16S ribosomal RNA
Rfam family: Bacterial small subunit ribosomal RNA
Source: RNAcentral